This 459-nucleotide ribosomal RNA is filed under the name uncultured bacterium. RNAcentral's name for it is "bacterial SSU rRNA". It matches the Rfam family "Bacterial small subunit ribosomal RNA", at positions 340 to 786 of the family's 1533-position model. The record is from RNAcentral.
UACGGAAGGCAGCAGUGGGGAAUAUUGCACAAUGGGCGAAAGCCUGAUGCAGCUAUGCCGCGUGUAUGAAGAAGGCCUUAGGGUUGUAAAGUACUUUCAUCGGGGAGGAAAAAAACAAAACUAAUAAUUUUAUUUCUUGACGUUACCCGAAAAAGAAGCACCGGCUAACUCCGUGCCAGCAGCCGCGGUAAUACGGAGGGUGCUAGCGUUAAUCAGAAUUACUGGGCGUAAAGAGCACGUAGGUGGUUUUUUUAAGUCAGAUGUGAAAUCCCUGGGCUUAACCUAGGAACUGCAUUUUGAAACUGAAAUACUAGAGUAUCGUAGAGGGAGGUAGAAUUCUAGGUGUAGCGGUGAAAUGCGUAGAUAUCUGGAGGAAUACCUGUGGCGAAAGCGGCCUCCUAAACGAAUACUGACACUGAGGGUGCGAAAGCGUGGGGAGCAAAACAGGGAUUAGAUACC